RNAcentral lists this ribosomal RNA (433 nucleotides) under uncultured bacterium. Its description in RNAcentral is "partial 16S ribosomal RNA". It matches the Rfam family "Bacterial small subunit ribosomal RNA", at positions 29 to 507 of the family's 1533-position model. The record is from RNAcentral.
AACGAACGCUGGCGGCAUGCCUAACACAUGCAAGUCGAACGAGACCUUCGGGUCUAGUGGCGCACGGGUGCGUAACGCGUGGGAACCUGCCCUUAGGUUCGGAAUAACUCCCCGAAAGGGGUGCUAAUACCGGAUAAUGUCUUCGGACCAAAGAUUUAUCGCCUUUGGAUGGGCCCGCGUUGGAUUAGCUAGUUGGUAGGGUAAAAGCCUACCAAGGCGACGAUCCAUAGCUGGUCUGAGAGGAUGAUCAGCCACACUGGGACUGAGACACGGCCCAGACUCCUACGGGAGGCAGCAGUGGGGAAUAGUGGACAAUGGGCGAAAGCCUGAUGCAGCAAUGCCGCGUGAGUGAUGAAGGCCUUAGGGUUGUAAAGCUCUUUUACCCGGGAUGAUAAUGACAGUACCGGGAGAAUAAGCUCCGGCUAACUCCGUG